CGACCAUCAAGCUUUAGCUUAGUGUUGGGAACUUACGUUAUUGUAAUUCCUUAAAAUCAUUGGCAGAGUUUUAUUACCUCUGAGCGUAGUAAUUUUUAUCUCGCUUUCGACAGUAGUUUAGUUCUUGCCAUAAACCUUUAUUUUUAAU
This 148-nucleotide unclassified non-coding RNA is filed under the name uncultured Sordariomycetes. RNAcentral describes it as "sequence contains ITS2". Lineage: Eukaryota; Fungi; Ascomycota; Sordariomycetes. The record is from RNAcentral.